GGAAGCGUGGCAGAGUGGUUGAAUGCACCGGUCUUGAAAACCGGCAGGGGUUCAUGCCCCUCGUGAGUUCGAAUCUCACCGCUUCCGCCA
Molecule: transfer RNA, 90 nt
Filed under: Pseudomonadota bacterium
Lineage: Bacteria; Pseudomonadati; Pseudomonadota
Also listed under: 1 other name
Description: tRNA-Ser
Rfam family: tRNA
About the family: Transfer RNA (tRNA) molecules are approximately 80 nucleotides in length. Their secondary structure includes four short double-helical elements and three loops (D, anti-codon, and T loops).
Source: RNAcentral